RNAcentral lists this ribosomal RNA (465 nucleotides) under uncultured bacterium. RNAcentral describes it as "partial 16S ribosomal RNA". It matches the Rfam family "Bacterial small subunit ribosomal RNA", at positions 28 to 507 of the family's 1533-position model. The record is from RNAcentral.
GACGAACGCUGGCGGCGUGCUUAGCACAUGCAAGUCGAACGGAAAGGCCCUGCUUGCAGGGUACUCGAGUGGCGAACGGGUGAGUAACACGUGGGUGAUCUGCCCUGCACUUCGGGAUAAGCCUGGGAAACUGGGUCUAAUACCGGAUAGGAGCCAUUUUUAGUGUGAUGGUUGGAAAGUUUUUUCGGUGGAGGAUGAGCUCGCGGCCUAUCAGCUUGUUGGUGGGGUAAUGGCCUACCAAGGCGGCGACGGGUAGCCGGCCUGAGAGGGUGGACGGCCACAUUGGGACUGAGAUACGGCCCAGACUCCUACGGGAGGCAGCAGUGGGGAAUAUUGCACAAUGGGCGCAAGCCUGAUGCAGCGACGCCGCGUGGGGGAUGACGGCCUUCGGGUUGUAAACUCCUUUCGCUAGGGACGAAGCUUUUUGUGACGGUACCUAGAGAAGAAGCACCGGCUAACUACGUG